RNAcentral lists this long non-coding RNA (1245 nucleotides) under Olea europaea subsp. europaea. The record is from RNAcentral. Lineage: Eukaryota; Viridiplantae; Streptophyta; Magnoliopsida; Lamiales; Oleaceae.
GUUUGACCAACUUACAAGCAAUUGUAAGCUUUGCCAAACAUGCACUUAAUAUGGAUCUCCAGGUAGGGGAUUUGUAUCUCUGUUCGUGAGAGUAAUCUCCAUAUUUUUUCUCAUACCGAAGGUUAUUUCUAGUAUAAUCACUUUGUUCGUCAGAAAGGGUAGCAUAUUCUUCGCCCAUUUUGAAUAUCUUUUGCAUUGUUCAGAAUCUGUUUGAUAUAUGCACUUUGUUCUUCAAGUUUGUGUUAGUUGAAUAUAUUUGUUCUUGUCACGGAACUAUUAUCUUUGUUAAGGUUUUGUGGGUGAAGUGCAUUUUGAUCGCCACUUAUGAUGUGUUUAUAACUUGCAUUAGGUUGUAUUCCACUUUCCUGAAUCCCUUCGAAAGGAUAACUUAUAUUGUUGGGUUGUUAUAAACAAAAGCCACGUUUUGAUUUGAUUAUACUAUGGCUUGUUAUGUUGUGAAUUCUGUCUUGACCUUGGACAUAGUUGAGAUGCUUCUCGACUUGACUUCCCAUUGGCCAUAUUUGUUUUACUUGUACAACCUGCAAUGAUCAUUUUGUUUUUGAUCCUUUAAUGUCUAAGUGGAUGGGGUUAGGAACUCAAAAUUUCUAGCGUGGCAGCACGAAGAACACCCUUUUUCGGCGUCCCCAUUACAAGAUGGAUCUCUUUGCAACAGAAUUUGAUGAAUGAAUUUGUCAUUUUUUUUCCUUUUCCCAUAAUUGAUUAUGUCUAGGUGAAGGGUUAUGAUCUCUCCUCUUGCAGUGUUGGUUUACUUAUUGAAGAAGGUGGAAUUUGAUUCUCACACACUUUUGUCUGGGAACCCGUCUGAAUAAAGGAGGUAUUAUUUAGGCAACCGUAUGCAAGUAUUUGUAGAACUGAUUUUGACGUCUUCAAUCACCAUUCCUCUCCUGCAACAAGAAUUUCAUUAAAGAAAGCUUUGUUAACUUUUCUUUCUUGUUUAGUAUUUCCGAGGGGUGAACGCUGUUUGGUUGGGGUGGGUUUUGUCUACUUUCAAGCCGAAUUAUAUGAGAAAAUUUCAAGGCAUAUCGAACAAUUUCAAUUUUGUGAAAUCUUACUAAAUUGGAACAUUUUUUUGCAGUUGAAUAUGGUUUCAAACCAUGGUUUUGGCUGCAUAGAAAUUAUAUCUUUUAAGCGCAAUAUGUUAAGGGAAUUGUCUUUUUUGAUGAUUUUGUUUAAUAGUGUUAAUUGCAUAUGAAGUUGAACGAGGAUGUACAUAAAAUAGACAGG